AGCUUUGUGGCACCGUGGCAGUAUCGUAGCCAAUGAGGUUUAUCUGAGGCACGAUUAUUGCUAAUUGAAAACUUUUCCCAAUACCCUGCAAUGACAACUUGAAACAUAGCAUUGGCAAUUUUUGACAGUAUCUACAGAGA
Molecule: small nuclear RNA, 140 nt
Organism: Lemur catta (Ring-tailed lemur)
Lineage: Eukaryota; Metazoa; Chordata; Mammalia; Primates; Lemuridae
Product: U4 spliceosomal RNA
Exons: 1
Source: RefSeq, a predicted model, not a curated record